ACGGAAGGCAGCAGUGAGGAAUAUUGGUCAAUGGGCGGAAGCCUGAGCCAGCCAAGUCGCGUGAAGGAUGAAGGUAUUAUGUAUUGUAAACUUCUUUAGACGUAGAGAAAUAAGGGGAUCGUGAUCCCUGAUGCUAGUAUACGUAGAAUAAGGAUCGGCUAACUCCGUGCCAGCAGCCGCGGUAAUACGGAGGAUCCGAGCGUUAUCCGGAUUUAUUGGGUUUAAAGGGUGCGCAGGCGGCUUUUUAAGUCAGUGGUUAAAUCGUGGAGCUUAACUCCAUCCCGCCAUUGAUACUGGAGAGCUUGAUUGCGGUUGAGGUUGGCGGAAUUCGCCGUGUAGCGGUGAAAUGCAUAGAUAUGGCGAAGAACUCCGAUUGCGUAGGCAGCUGACCAAGCCGUAAAUGACGCUCAUGCACGAAAGUGCGGGGAUCGAACAGGAUUAGAUACCCUGGUA
Molecule: ribosomal RNA, 453 nt
Filed under: uncultured Porphyromonadaceae bacterium
Lineage: Bacteria; Pseudomonadati; Bacteroidota; Bacteroidia; Bacteroidales; Porphyromonadaceae
Description: partial 16S ribosomal RNA
Rfam family: Bacterial small subunit ribosomal RNA
Source: RNAcentral